Molecule: ribosomal RNA, 177 nt
Filed under: uncultured bacterium
Lineage: Bacteria
Description: partial 16S ribosomal RNA
Rfam family: Bacterial small subunit ribosomal RNA
Source: RNAcentral
CCUACGGGAGGCAGCAGUGGGGAAUCUUAGACAAUGGGGGAAACCCUGAUCUAGCCAUGCCGCGUGAUCGAUGAAGGCCUUAGGGUUGUAAAGAUCUUUCAGUGGGGAAGAUAAUGACGGUACCCACAGAAGAAGCCCCGGCUAACUCCGUGCCAGCAGCCGCGGUAAUAAUCACUA